Molecule: ribosomal RNA, 1356 nt
Filed under: Chiropterotriton cracens (graceful splayfoot salamander)
Lineage: Eukaryota; Metazoa; Chordata; Amphibia; Caudata; Plethodontidae
Description: partial large subunit ribosomal RNA
Rfam family: Bacterial large subunit ribosomal RNA
Source: RNAcentral
AGGUGGUCUUGGACUCAGAAUAUAGCUUAAUUAAAGCAUUUUGCUUACACCAAAAAAAUAUCCUUUAGAUUAUUCUGAUACUGUAAAUUUAGCCUUUUUAAUCAUUCCCUCCCAUCCUGUAAUUAAAUCAUUUAAAAUAUGUUAGUAUGAGUGACAGAAAACUUAUUAGCGCAAUAAACAAAGUACUGUAAAGGAAUAAUGAAAUAGAAAUUAAAUAAUCCAUAAAAGUAUAAUAAAGCAAAGAUUAAUACUUUUACCUUUUGCAUAAUGAUCUAACAAGUCUUUCCCAACAAAAAUAUUUACGCCGGAAACCCCGAAACCAAACGAGCUACCUUAGAGCAGUAUAUUGAACAUAAUUUUCUCUGUGGCAAAAGAGAGGAGAGACUCUUAGGUAGAGGUGAAAAACCAAACGAGUAUGGAGAUAGCUGGUUAUUUGGGAAUGAAUUAAGUUCAACUAAAAGCAAACAUACCAACAAGGUCAUAAUAAUGCUUUUAAUAUAAUAAACUAGGGUACAGCCUAUUUUAUAAAGGGAACAGCCUAUAUAUAUGAAUAAAGAUUAUAAUAAAUCACAUAACUAAGUAGGCCUAAAAGCAGCCAUCAAAAUAGCGUCACAGCUUAAUUAUAUAUUUUAAAUAUUUUAAUAAACUAUCUAAAUUCAAUUUAACAACCAAAUUAAUCUAUUUAUAGAUAAACUACUAUUAGAAUGAGUAAUAAGGAAUACCUCUUAAUACACAUGUAAAUCAAAACAAACUCCAUUGACAAUUAACGGAAAAAUUCACUUUAACAAGAAACUAAAUUCCACUCGCCGUUAAUCCAACACAGGUGUAUAAAAGAAAGAUAUAAAGCUUAAGAAGGAACUCGGCAAGCCCAGGCUUCGCCUGUUUACCAAAAACAUCGCCUUUCGAUAAAUAAAUAUGAAAGGUCCUGCCUGCCCAGUGAUAUUAUUUCAACGGCCGCGGUAUUAUGACCGUGCAAAGGUAGCAUAAUCACUUGUCUCUUAAAUUAAGACCAGCAUGAAUGGCAAAACGAAAGCCUAACUGUCUCCUUAAGUUAGUCAAUGAAAUUGAUCUUCCCGUGCAGAAGCGGGUAUAAAAAUAUAAGACGAGAAGACCCUGUGGAGCUUAAAAAUAAGGCUAUACAAAGAUUUUGUAAUAACAUCAAAUUUAGGUUGGGGCGACCACGAGGUAAAACAUAACCCUCAAGAUAAUAACUAGAAGGACAUUUCAAACAAAAUAAAAUUUAUAUAUUGACCCAAUAAUGAUCAACGAACCAAGUUACCCCAGGGAUAACAGCGCAAUCCAUUUCCAGAGUCCAUAUCGACGAAUGGGUUUACGACCUCGAUGUUGGAUCAGGAC